This 2961-nucleotide ribosomal RNA is filed under the name Ambystoma mexicanum (axolotl). RNAcentral describes it as "eukaryotic LSU rRNA". The stretch from base 1477 to 2961 matches the Rfam family "Eukaryotic large subunit ribosomal RNA". Lineage: Eukaryota; Metazoa; Chordata; Amphibia; Caudata; Ambystomatidae. The record is from RNAcentral.
CCCACAGCCCGUGGAGCAGGAUUCCCUUCCGCCGGAGGGGGGUCCGCGACCCAGCAGACAGAUGGGGACGCCUGGCGGGGUUUGUUGGGUUAACCCGCCAGGGGACAUCCCCCCCGACCGGAGAGAGACAGGGACUCCCGCUCUGAAUGGCCACCCCCCGUCCUCUCCUCACCGAUCCGGCCCCUGAGCCGCCACACCGGGUGGGGGCGCGCUCCUCCACCCAGACCCGCCAGCGGGCCGGGCGUCGGAGUGGGUGCACCCCGGUCGGCAGGGAAGCCCCCGAGUGGGAGCAGCCGGGAGCCGAGGGAAGCCCAGCCGUUCUCGAGGAAUGCCUCCCCAAGGUGGACAGGGGCCCGGCAUGCCGGGCGAGCCCUGAGCCAUGCCGCAGCCGGAGCACUCGACGGGCGGGCGUCGAGGUUCCGGCCACCCACGUGGGCGAGCGAUGGCCAGGCCUGCCGGCGCAGCAGGCGACCUUCCUUCUCGACCAGGUACCUGGAGCUCGGCCCUGUGCGGCCGGGAUGCAGUUUGAAGACUCUGGUGGUCCCAGCCGACGCCCAUGCCGACCCUGGCCCGCCUCUCCGUCCGCCUCCCCGCAAGGGGAACAGCGGAGGGGGUCAGGCCGGGCAUAGGCCAAGCGCGAAUCGGGCCGGGUGGGCCGGCGGAGGAGCGGCCUGCCUCUGUCACCGUGGGAAGCCCUGCCGUCGUGCAGGCUUCCCGGGCUGAGCGCCUGGAUGUUUUUUUUGUUUUCUCUUAAAACCCCCCCGAUGGUCUCGGCCGACUCCCAAGUGGGGGCAGCUAGACGGGGCGCCGGGCUGUGUCUCGUCCAUGGUGGGAGGGACGGCGGCACUGCCUCUCCCCGGCCUCUCCUGCACCGGCAGGUUCGGGCCGACGUCUGGAACAAAACAAAAAAGUUGCCUGUGACUCUUGGCGGUGGAUCACUCGGCUCGCGCAUCGAUGAAGAACCCAGCUAGCUGCAAAAAUGAGUGUGCAUUGCAGGACACAUUGAUCAUCGACACUUCGAAUGCACCUUGCGGCCCUGGGUUCCUCCCUGGGCUACGCCUGUCUGACGGUCGCUUGAACGUCAAUCGCCCCGGGGUUCCCUCCCCGGGGCGUGGCUGGGGCUGUCGCAGGGACCCCAUUCCCUUCGUCCCUCUAAGGUCAGACCCCGAUCAGCACAGGUGCGGGAUCCCUCUGGACCUGGAGGUGGCAGCCUUGAAAAAGCUGGGCAUGCCUCAGCCCCUGCCCUGGGGCACAGGGCCGUGCUGUGUGUUGCUGUCUGUGGUGUCCCAUGGCUGCCAGCGCGGGACGGCCCUGGAGCGCGGGCCUGUACCAGGUGGGCCUCAGCAUUAGCGGAUCGGGAAAGCGCACGAUCGGCCACUGCCGGAAGGUGGGGGGCUGCCAGGGGCUAACCCCCCCUGUACGGCCCCAGGCUCGAGGCACGGCCGCCCCACGGAGCUCACGCGGCUCCCUCGACUACGACCUCAGAUCAGACGUGGCGACCCGCUGAAUAUAAGCAUAUUACUAAGCGGAGGAAAAGAAACUAAAGGACGCGAGCCGGGCCCUUCCUGUGGAUCGCCCCAGCUGCGGUGGUCGCCUCUCUCCAUUCCCCUCCCGGGCUUCAGGGCUGGCCUUCUGCCUCGGCCGACGCCUAGCAGCUGACUUAGAACUGGUGCGGACCAGGGGAAUCCGACUGUUUAAUUAAAACAAAGCAUCACGAAGGCCCGCGGUCGGUGUUGACGCGAUGUGAUUUCUGCCCAGUGCUCUGAAUGUCAAAGUGAAGAAAUUCAAUGAAGCGCGGGUAAAUGGCGGGAGUAACUAUGACCUCCUUAAGGUAGCCAAAUGCCUCGUCAUCUAAUUAGUGAUGCGCAUGAAUGGAUGAACGAGAUUCCCACUGUUCCUACCUACUAUCUAGCGAAACCUCCGCCAAAGGAACGGGCUUGGCAGAAUCAAUGGGGAAAGAAGACCAUGUUCAGCUUGACUCUAGUCUGGCACUGUGAAGAGAUAUGAGAGGUGUAGGAUAAGUGGGAGGCACUCGGGCCGCCGGUGAAAUACCACUAUUCAUAUUGUUUUUUCACUUACCCCAUGAGGCGGAGGGCGAGCCCCGUGGGGCUCUCGCUUUUGGCUCCAAUAGCCCGGCGCACGCCGGGCGCGACUUGCUCCGGGGACAGUGGCAGGUGGGGAGUUUGACUGGGGCGGUUCACCUGUCAAACGAUAACGCAGGUGUCCUAAGGCGAGCUCAGGGAGGACAGAAACCUCCCGCGGAGCAGAAGGACAAAAGCUUGCUUGAUCUCGAUUUUUAAUAUGAACACAGACUGUGAAAUUGGGGCCUCACGAUCCUUCUGACUUUUUGGGUUUCAAGCAGGAGGUGUCAGAAAAGUUACCACAGGGAUAACUGGCUUGUGGCGGCCAAGCGUUCAUAGCGACGUUGCUUUUUGAUACUUCGAUGUCAGCUCUUCCUAUCAUUGUGUAGCAGAAUUCACCAAGUGUGGAUUGUUCACCCACUAAUAGGGAACGUGAGCUGGGUUUAGACCGUCGUGAGACAGCUUAUUUUUACCCUACUGAUGAUGUGUUGUUGCAAUGGUAAUCCUGCUCAGUACGAGAGGAACCGCAGGUUCAGACAUUUGGUGUAUGUGCUUGGCUGAGGAGCCAAUGGGGCGAAGCUAGCAUCUGUGGGAUUAUGACUAAACACCUCUAAGUCAGAAUCCCCCUAAACCGAAACGAUAACGCAGCGCUGUGGAGCCUCGGUUGGCCUAGGAUAGCCGGACUCUGGGCCGGUGCAUAGAGCCGCUCGCCUCGGGACUCGAGUGUGGAAAGAAGGGGCCACCUCUCUUGCCCGUAGUGCACCGCAUGUUCGUGGGGAACCUGGUGCUAAAUCAUUCGUAGAUGACCUGAUUCUGGGUCAGGGUUUCGUAAGUAGCAGAGCAGCUACCUCGCUGCGAUCUAUUGAAGGUCGUCCUCUGA